AAGGAGGUUCUGGCAGUAACCUUGUUCUGCAAGGCCGCAUUGAAUGUUGGAUCAAUCUUUAUUGCUCCAGCUACUGAUGCUAGCUCGCUAGUUAUCUGCUGACUCAAGGAUAAGCUUAAGGAAACCAGUGGAAACAACUGCAAGAGGGAAGGAGAUUGAUUCACCCUCAGCAACGAUCACAAUCCAAAGAACAUCUUCCACGACACAGAAUUAUUCCCCGUUUUUGUGGCACAAUGCAGCUGAAUCUUCCUGUCCUGACUCUUUGCCUUCUUGGCACAGCAGUCCUGUGUGUAGCAACCACCGUUGGGCCUAUCAUCACUGACAAAACUGUGCCUACCAUCCCUGCUGACAAAACUGUGCCUACCAUCCCUGCUGACAAAACUGUGCCUACCAUCCCUGCUGACAAAACUGUG
This is a long non-coding RNA of Centropristis striata (black sea bass), 413 nucleotides long. RefSeq lists it as uncharacterized. The transcript has 3 exons. The record is from RefSeq and is a predicted model, not a curated record. Lineage: Eukaryota; Metazoa; Chordata; Actinopteri; Perciformes; Serranidae.